CCUACGGGAGGCAGCAGUAGGGAAUAUUGCUCAAUGGGGGAAACCCUGAAGCAGCAACGCCGCGUGGAGGAUGAAGGUUUUCGGAUUGUAAACUCCUUUUGUUAGAGAAGAUAAUGACGGUAUCUAACGAAUAAGCACCGGCUAACUCCGUGCCAGCAUCCGCGGUAAUACGGAGGGUGCAAGCGUUACGCGGAAUCACUGGGCGUAAGGCGCGCGUAGGCGGGAUAGCAAGUCAGAUGUGAAAUCCUAUGGCUUAACCCUAGAACUGCAUGUGAAACUGUUAGUCUAGAGGAGGGGGGGGGUAGGGGGAAUUGGUGGUGUAGGGGUAAAAUGCGUAGAGAUCAAGAGGAAGACGGAUGGCGAGGGCGACUAUCUGGCACAUAACGGACGCUGAGGAGCGAAAGCGUGGGUAGCAAACAGGAUUAGAUACCCGGGUAGUC
RNAcentral lists this ribosomal RNA (440 nucleotides) under uncultured bacterium. Its description in RNAcentral is "partial 16S ribosomal RNA". It matches the Rfam family "Bacterial small subunit ribosomal RNA", at positions 338 to 795 of the family's 1533-position model. The record is from RNAcentral.